CCUACGGGAGGCAGCAGUGAGGAAUAUUGGUCAAUGGCCGGAAGGCUGAACCAGCCAAGCCGCGUGAAGGACGAAGGUGCCAAGCAUUGUAAACUUCUUUUGUCAAGGGACAAAAUCAGGCUCGAGAGCCUGACCGAGGGUACUUGAAGAAAAAGCAUCGGCUAACUCCGUGCCAGCCGCCGCGGUAAGACGGAGGAUGCGAGCGUUAUCCGGAUUUAUUGGGUUUAAAGGGUGCGUAGGCGGACUGUUAAGUCAGCGGUAAAAGCCCGGGGCUCAACCCCGGCGAGCCUUUGAGACUGGCUGUCUUGAGAUGUCGAGAGGUAUGCGGAAUGCGCAGUGUAGCGGUGAAAUGCUUAGAUAUUGCGCAGAACUCCGAUUGCGAAGGCAGCAUACCGGCGGCGAUCUGACGCUGAGGCACGAAAGCGUGGGUAUCGAACAGGAUUAGAUACCCGGGUAGUC
RNAcentral lists this ribosomal RNA (459 nucleotides) under uncultured bacterium. RNAcentral's name for it is "partial 16S ribosomal RNA". It matches the Rfam family "Bacterial small subunit ribosomal RNA", at positions 338 to 795 of the family's 1533-position model. The record is from RNAcentral.